Molecule: non-coding RNA, 135 nt
Organism: Triticum aestivum (bread wheat)
Lineage: Eukaryota; Viridiplantae; Streptophyta; Magnoliopsida; Poales; Poaceae
Source: Rfam
CAACUACUCCCUCUGUCCCAAAUUUCUUGUCUUAGAUUUGUCUAGAUACGGAUGUAUCUAAUACUAAAAUGUGACUUGAUACAUCCGCAUCUGGACAAAUCUAAGACAAGAAUUUUGGGAUGGAGGGAGUACUUU